AAGUCGUAACAAGGUUUCCGUAGGUGAACCUGCGGAAGGAUCAUUAAUGAAUUUUAGGACGUUCUUUUUAGAAGUCCGACCCUUUCAUUUUCUUACACUGUGCACACACUUCUUUUUUACACACACUUUUAACACAUUAGUAUAAGAAUGUAAUAGUCUCUUAAUUGAGCAUAAACAAAAAUAAAACUUUCAGCAACGGAUCUCUUGGCUCUC
Molecule: unclassified non-coding RNA, 213 nt
Filed under: Cystobasidium slooffiae
Lineage: Eukaryota; Fungi; Basidiomycota; Cystobasidiomycetes; Cystobasidiales; Cystobasidiaceae
Description: partial internal transcribed spacer region
Rfam family: Eukaryotic small subunit ribosomal RNA (bases 1-46)
Source: RNAcentral